UUGGGACGUGCUGUUGCACUUCAGUUGCCUAUGCAGGGGUUUCUUGUGAGUGUCCUGUUCCUCUUUUUCUUGAACAAAUGUAAUGCAAUUCUUGAUGUCUGGCAGGCAGCACCAAAGUUUUGUAGGCAACGUCCAUACGUGAAUUAUAUGAAGCCAUUUAGUUCAAUUAGAGAACAAAGUUUCAACUAUUUUAUUUAUCAUGAGACCCCUCUUGAUCACUUCUUCCAAAGUCCCUCUUGGCUUCCCUUCCCUUCUUUCCACAGGAUAUAAACCAUAUAAAUACUCCUCUCCCUCUCCCGGAGCCUGCUCCAACCAAACUACCUUAAAU
RNAcentral lists this long non-coding RNA (328 nucleotides) under Phaseolus vulgaris (common bean). RNAcentral's name for it is "long non-coding RNA (PVUL_LNC003901)". The record is from RNAcentral. Lineage: Eukaryota; Viridiplantae; Streptophyta; Magnoliopsida; Fabales; Fabaceae.